GGUUUUCCGGGGAUUAUUGGGCGUAAGAGCUCGUAGGCGGUUUGUCGCGUCUGUCGUGAAAGUCCGGGGCUUAACCCCGGAUCUGCGGUGGGUACGGGCAGACUAGAGUGCAGUAGGGGAGACUGGAAUUCCUGGUGUAGCGGUGGAAUGCGCAGAUAUCAGGAGGAACACCGAUGGCGAAGGCAGGUCUCUGGGCUGUAACUGACGCUGAGGAGCGAAAGCAUGGGGAGCGAACAGGAUUAGAUACCCUGGUAGUCCAUGCCGUAAACGUUGGGCACUAGGUGUGGGGACCAUUCCACGGUUUCCGCGCCGCAGCUAACGCAUUAAGUGCCCCGCCUGGGGAGUACGGCCGCAAGGCUAAAACUCAAAGGAAUUGACGGGGGCCCGCACAAGCGGCGGAGCAUGCGGAUUAAUUCGAUGCAACGCGAAGAACCUUACCAAGGCUUGACAUGUUCUCGAUCGCCGUAGAGAUACGGUUUCCCCUUUGGGGCGGGUUCACAGGUGGUGCAUGGUUGUCGUCAGCUCGUGUCGUGAGAUGUUGGGUUAAGUCCCGCAACGAGCGCAACCCUCGUUCCAUGUUGCCAGCACGUAAUGGUGGGGACUCAUGGGAGACUGCCGGGGUCAACUCGGAGGAAGGUGAGGACGACGUCAAAUCAUCAUGCCCCUUAUGUCUUGGGCUUCACGCAUGCUACAAUGGCCGGUACAAUGGGUUGCGAUACUGUGAGGUGGAGCUAAUCCCAAAAAGCCGGUCUCAGUUCGGAUUGGGGUCUGCAACUCGACCCCAUGAAGUCGGAGUCGCUAGUAAUCGCAGAUCAGCAACGCUGCGGUGAAUACGUUCCCGGGCCUUGUACACACCGCCCGUCAAGUCACGAAAGUCGGUAACACCCGAAGCCGGUGGCCUAACCCUUGUGGGGGGGAGCCGUCGAAGGUGGGACCAGCGAUUGGGACUAUCACACAAGGGGGGGGCAGACACACACAUUUUUUUUGUGGGGGGGGGAUUUUUUGUGGGGGGAGAGGU
RNAcentral lists this ribosomal RNA (1018 nucleotides) under Micrococcus luteus. RNAcentral's name for it is "bacterial SSU rRNA". It matches the Rfam family "Bacterial small subunit ribosomal RNA", at positions 538 to 1533 of the family's 1533-position model. Lineage: Bacteria; Bacillati; Actinomycetota; Actinomycetes; Micrococcales; Micrococcaceae. The record is from RNAcentral.